UACGUAGGGUCCGAGCGUUGUCCGGAAUUACUGGGCGUAAAGAGCUCGUAGGUGGUUUGUCGCGUUGUUCGUGAAAACUCACAGCUCAACUGUGGGCGUGCGGGCGAUACGGGCAGACUAGAGUACUGCAGGGGAGACUGGAAUUCCUGGUGUAGCGGUGGAAUGCGCAGAUAUCAGGAGGAACACCAAUAGCGAAGGCAGCUCGCUGGGACGUUACUGACACUGAGGCGCGAAAGCGUGGGGAGCGAACAGG
Molecule: ribosomal RNA, 253 nt
Filed under: uncultured bacterium
Lineage: Bacteria
Description: partial 16S ribosomal RNA
Rfam family: Bacterial small subunit ribosomal RNA
Source: RNAcentral